Long non-coding RNA from Ornithorhynchus anatinus (platypus), 344 nucleotides. RefSeq lists it as uncharacterized. The record is from RefSeq and is a predicted model, not a curated record. Lineage: Eukaryota; Metazoa; Chordata; Mammalia; Monotremata; Ornithorhynchidae. The transcript has 2 exons.
CUGUUCAGAAGGCGCUUCACUUGAAAGCCAAGAUGACAUUAUGGGUUCCAUGUCCACCCUUCAUAAAUUGCCAUUUUUAUCGACGACUCCAUCUAAUGGCAAGUCCACCAGCACGUUCAGAAAGAACUGGCAUUCCCAGACAGCUCCAUCCCACUGCCAAACCGCCUGGACUCCUGGAACUGCCCUGAGGGCACCCAGAUGGCACGGAGAUGGAAGACCAGAGCUACCAGAUGGGAAAAGCCCGACUUGCUCUUCGCUAAUAAGUUGAGAAGUCUGAGCCAGGCAUCCUGGGAUGGGCUGAGAAGCAGAACUAGCAGCAUUCAGAAGUACCGAUUUCCCCUGCC